This 446-nucleotide ribosomal RNA is filed under the name uncultured bacterium. Its description in RNAcentral is "partial 16S ribosomal RNA". It matches the Rfam family "Bacterial small subunit ribosomal RNA", at positions 330 to 792 of the family's 1533-position model. The record is from RNAcentral.
CCCAGACUCCUACGGGAGGCAGCAGUGGGGAAUAUUGCACAAUGGGGGAAACCCUGAUGCAGCGACGCCGCGUGAAGGAUGAAGUAUUUCGGUAUGUAAACUUCUAUCAGCAGGGAAGAAAAUGACGGUACCUGACUAAGAAGCCCCGGCUAACUACGUGCCAGCAGCCGCGGUAAUACGUAGGGGGCAAGCGUUAUCCGGAUUUACUGGGUGUAAAGGGAGCGUAGGCGGUGUAGCAAGUUAGAAGUGAAAUACCUAGAGCUUAACUCAGGUGCUGCUUCUAAAACUGCUAUACUUGAGUGCAGUAGAGGAAAGUGGAAUUCCUAGUGUAGCGGUGGAAUGCGUAGAUAUUAGGAGGAACAUCAGUGGCGAAGGCGACUUUCUGGACUGUAACUGACGCUGAGGCACGAAAGUGUGGGGAGCAAACAGGAUUAGAUACCCGGGUA